Molecule: long non-coding RNA, 1485 nt
Organism: Sorghum bicolor (sorghum)
Lineage: Eukaryota; Viridiplantae; Streptophyta; Magnoliopsida; Poales; Poaceae
Exons: 6
Source: RefSeq, a predicted model, not a curated record
GUUUCUGGCUAUCCCACUUUCCCCAUCGUCUGGCUAUCCCACUUUCCCAGCAACACUCGAGUGGAAGUAGUUCGUCCUCGGCGAUUUCACCGGCAACCUCGCCGACGUUGCCGCUCCGGUGCGCCCUGUCUCGUCUCCCCACUUCCUUCCCUCGCUUCGUCGGUCGUCGUCUGCCCCAGAGAGUAGGAGCCGCCUCGUCCCUCCCGGCCCCGCCCGCGCCCCCCGAUCCCGUCUGUCACCAUGAAUCCCGAGUAAUGUGGACACUGCAAGAAGCUUGCUCCAGAGGGCUCUGGAAUGAAGCUCAAGGACAUACCCAAUGGCUUCUGACGGCACCAGGAACUCCCCUAUUCCCAUCUGUAUAAGUUGAGUCCAAAAGGUCCCCGGUGAGCCAAGCUGGAACGCCAAAGACUCGUCCAACUACCUUAAAAUCUAGGCUUUAGCAAUGAUAGUGGUAUCUUUGCAAUGAAGAAUCUUGAGCUUUGGGACCUAAAUGUCAAUUUGGUGGACAAGUUUUGUGAAGAUGAUGUUGACCAUCUUCGUAUCAAGUACGUCAAUGACAUGAUUUUCAAUGAAUUCAAUUGUUCUGAUGUUGGUCGAUCAAAAGUCAUGGAAUAUGAUGCCGAGGUAAUACUAGUUGCAAUGUCACUUUUUUGUGUACUGUUCCAUCAUGUACUCAAUUGAUAGUUGAUUCUAAUAUUUUUUUCCUCAUGUCUAUGCAAAGUACUACAAGAGAGAAUGACCUACAUGUUUGUGUCCAGAUCUUGUGUUUUAGGUUCCUGUUAUAUAGGGUGACCUACAUGUUUGUGUCCAGAUCUUGUGUUUUAGGUUCCUGUUAUAUAGGGUGUAGGUUCAUGCUAUUAGUGUAUGGUACUUUGUAAAGAAGCAACUAUGUUGAUGAGAAUAUUUGGAGCUACAGUGGUUGUAAAUACUAAUCUAUAGUCAGUCAAGAGGAUACAGUAAAGUUGAUGACAAUAUUUGGUACUAUUUGCAUCUACAACAAGAUGCAUUUUUUGUUUUAAUGCUUCAUCUGAACUGUUUGUUUUAUAUGCAUUUUUUAGACUUGCUUUCUCUGUUAGUGUGUCUAUUUUGUCCUCUAUGUGUUAGUGUAGUAACUUUUGAUAGCAAAAGACAAGGACAAGUUUGAGGGGUUGUGGAGGUCCCUCUUCUUCUUUACAUUACCAUCAGAAUGAUGGUUGGGAUCAGACGAUGGAAGCUGCUGCACUAAAAUCCAGGGUGGUGUAUGCAAAGUACCAUCUCAUCAGGUUCAAGGAGCAAAGAGGAAGGAUUUGAGAGCACCACGAAUGCUUACAACUCACCCCAUUAGCCAUGGGCUUGCUUAUGCCACAAAGAGCACUCAUAUGUGUAAGUAUAUCAAGCGCUAUGUUUCAGCUUAGGAAACCUUAAUGGUUGCAAAAUAUGUUGUAACACAAUCUCAUACACAAAAACAUCUAAAUGAAAAGCAUAGCUUGUGCAUAUUUGUUCUGG